CCUACGGGGGGCAGCAGUGGGGAAUAUUGAACAAUGGGGGCAACCCUGAUCCAGCCAUGCCGCGUGUGUGAAGAAGGCCCUCGGGUUGUAAAGCACUUUCAGUGAGGAAGAACGCCUGGUGGUUAAUACCCAUCAGGAAAGACAUCACUCACAGAAGAAGCACCGGCUAACUCCGUGCCAGCAGCCGCGGUAAUACGGAGGGUGCGAGCGUUAAUCGGAAUUACUGGGCGUAAAGCGCGCGUAGGUGGCUUGAUAAGCCGGUUGUGAAAGCCCCGGGCUCAACCUGGGAACGGCAUCCGGAACUGUCAAGCUAGAGUGCAGGAGAGGAAGGUAGAAUUCCCGGUGUAGCGGUGAAAUGCGUAGAGAUCGGGAGGAAUACCAGUGGCGAAGGCGGCCUUCUGGACUGACACUGACACUGAGGUGCGAAAGCGUGGGUAGCAAACAGGAUUAGAUACCCCUGUAGUC
Molecule: ribosomal RNA, 465 nt
Filed under: Vreelandella stevensii
Lineage: Bacteria; Pseudomonadati; Pseudomonadota; Gammaproteobacteria; Oceanospirillales; Halomonadaceae
Description: partial 16S ribosomal RNA
Rfam family: Bacterial small subunit ribosomal RNA
Source: RNAcentral